UGGGGAAUCAUGGUCAAUGGGCGAAAGCCUGAACCUGCGACGCCGCGUGAGUGAUGAAGGUCGUAAGAUCGUAAAACUCUUUUCAGGGAUCUUAAAGCACAACCGUCAACAACGGCUGUGUGUGACUCUCCCUGGAAGAAGCCCCAGCCAACUACGUGCCAGCAGCUGCGGUAAUACGUAGGGGGCGAGCGUUAUUCGGAAUUACUGGGUGUAAAGGGUAUGUAGGCGGCCCUGCAAGUCGCGUGUCAAAGUCCAGUGCUCAACGCGGGGGGU
RNAcentral lists this ribosomal RNA (273 nucleotides) under uncultured prokaryote. Its description in RNAcentral is "partial 16S ribosomal RNA". It matches the Rfam family "Bacterial small subunit ribosomal RNA", at positions 355 to 622 of the family's 1533-position model. The record is from RNAcentral.